UACGAAGGGGGCUAGCGUUGUUCGGAAUCACUGGGCGUAAAGGGCGCGUAGGCGGCCGAUCAAGUCGGGGGUGAAAGCCUGUGGCUCAACCACAGAAUUGCCUUCGAUACUGUUUGGCUUGAGACCGGAAGAGGUAAGUGGAACUGCGAGUGUAGAGGUGAAAUUCGUAGAUAUUCGCAAGAACACCAGUGGCGAAGGCGGCUUGCUGGUCCGGUUCUGACGCUGAGGCGCGAAAGCGUGGGGAGCAAACAGG
RNAcentral lists this ribosomal RNA (253 nucleotides) under uncultured bacterium. RNAcentral describes it as "partial 16S ribosomal RNA". It matches the Rfam family "Bacterial small subunit ribosomal RNA", at positions 524 to 776 of the family's 1533-position model. The record is from RNAcentral.